Molecule: ribosomal RNA, 837 nt
Filed under: Triticum aestivum (bread wheat)
Lineage: Eukaryota; Viridiplantae; Streptophyta; Magnoliopsida; Poales; Poaceae
Description: partial small subunit ribosomal RNA
Source: RNAcentral
AUGCCGCUGGGACAAACACCAAGCCGGCCACACCAUCACGCGCCAAGAACGUCUAAAGGCUGCAGGAAAGCCGCCGAGCAACAACAGAGAGGCGGACAGCGGGACAGCGAGAGGCACUGCACCUGCUGCCGGCCAAAAACCCCACCUUCAGCAGCCCUACGCCCGAAACCACACUCCCUAGACAACGCCUCCAUGGAGGGAACGACACACACGGCGCCGCCGCUGCCCAAUCCUGCCGGAUUUUGGGUUUUCACCCGGGAGAGGGAACGGAGGUGGGGAGAAGGAGACUACGACAUCGCCUCCAAGAAAGAAACGUCGCCCAAGGCCGACGUCGAUGCCGGGCCGAACCAGUCGGCCAGGGGUUUCCCCCGGUCCCGAUCUGCAACACCAGCCCCAAACUCCACCGGAUCCAGCGACCAGCCGCGGGAAACCAAGCGCAGAGGGGGAGGGAGUGAAUUGGGGACGGCAAACCUCCAGAUCUGGCGAGGAAGAGGAGGCCUCCACGCUGUAGCCACCGGCCGCCGACGCCCCACCGCCCCCGCAGUCGAGGACGCCGGCCAGAGCCCUCCGCGAGCGCCGUUCAGGGCAAGAACGGCGCCGCCACGCCGGCAGGGGCCGCCGCCCCUGGGAUCCAGAUCCUCCGCUGCAGGAGCGACGAGGGCCUCGCCGCCACCGUCACUGGCGGCCGCGCGGGCUUGCCCGGCGACCACCUCAGGUGGCGACGAGGAGGGAGAGGAGGGGUGGGGGAGGCGGCGCUCGGGAACCCUAGCCGCCGCCCGAGUCGCCCGGUCAAGCGACGCGGGGGCCGAGAGACCUCUGUUUCUUUGUCCCUUUUAA